RNAcentral lists this ribosomal RNA (478 nucleotides) under uncultured bacterium. Its description in RNAcentral is "partial 16S ribosomal RNA". It matches the Rfam family "Bacterial small subunit ribosomal RNA", at positions 28 to 507 of the family's 1533-position model. The record is from RNAcentral.
GACGAACGCUGGUGGCGUGCUUAACACAUGCAAGUCGAACGGGAUUUAGUAAACAGAAGCCUCGGUGGAAGAUUACUAAUGAGAGUGGCGAACGGGUGAGUAACGCGUGAGCAACCUGCCUAUGACAGUGGGAUAGCCUCGGGAAACCGGGAUUAAUACCGCAUAACAUCGUAGAAACACAUGUUUUAACGGUCAAAGAUUUAUCGGUCAUAGAUGGGCUCGCGUCUGAUUAGCUAGUUGGUGAGAUAACAGCCCACCAAGGCGACGAUCAGUAGCCGGUCUGAGAGGAUGAACGGCCACAUUGGAACUGAGACACGGUCCAAACUCCUACGGGAGGCAGCAGUGGGGAAUAUUGCACAAUGGGGGAAACCCUGAUGCAGCGACGCCGCGUGAACGAAGAAGGUAUUCGUAUCGUAAAGUUCUGUCCUAUGGGAAGAUAAUGACAGUACCAUAGAAGAAAGCUCCGGCUAAAUACGUG